UCUUGUUGUUCUUCUUUUCUUUUUUUUUUUUUUUUUUUUUUGGUACUGGGGAUUAAACCUAGGAGUGUUUUGCCACUAAGCUAUUUCCCCAGCCCUUUCUAUUUUUUUCCUUUUGCCCAGGCUGACCUUGAACUUGCAAUCUUCCUGCCUCAGCCUCUGGAGUCGCUGGGAUUACAGGCGUGUGUCACCACACCCAACCACAGUUGUUAUGUUUCUUUCUUAACAUACAUGAAGAUCAACAUGUAUGAUGGAAAAUGAGGAAUAUGAUUUAAAUUCACUCUGUUAUAUAUACUAGGUAACUAAUAAGGUUUUUUCUUUAAAAAAAAGAACUGAAAAUUUUCUUUCGCAGCUAACCAGUCCCUCUAUUUAUAGUCAUUCACAAGACCUUACUAAUUAAGCUUAAUUAGCAUGUAGCACAAUUUAUGCCUAUCAUUAAAUAUGUGACAAAUGAGAAAAUGUGAGAAAGUGUUAUGUAAAUUAUAAACCUUUUUUUGUGUCAGGUUAACUUUGCAGUGAGUUUGUUUUACAAUUACAAACCCCCCCCCAAUUUUAUGUCUUUGUAGACUUGCUAUAAUUCAUAGUGGCAUACUUGUGACUUUUAAGGCACUAUCAAGAACUUUGUUCCUAAAUGAAUUUUGAAAGAAAAAUCACUAAGUUCUG
Molecule: long non-coding RNA, 660 nt
Filed under: Marmota monax (woodchuck)
Lineage: Eukaryota; Metazoa; Chordata; Mammalia; Rodentia; Sciuridae
Source: RNAcentral